RNAcentral lists this transfer RNA (71 nucleotides) under Ovis aries (sheep). It matches the Rfam family "tRNA". From Rfam's summary of the family: Transfer RNA (tRNA) molecules are approximately 80 nucleotides in length. Lineage: Eukaryota; Metazoa; Chordata; Mammalia; Artiodactyla; Bovidae. The record is from Rfam by way of RNAcentral.
UCCCUGGUGGUCCAGUGGUUAAGACGCUGCUUGCAACGCAGGGAAUGUGGGUUCAAUCCCUGGCUGGGGAA